This 1249-nucleotide long non-coding RNA is filed under the name Malus domestica (apple). RNAcentral describes it as "long non-coding RNA (MDOM_LNC012535)". The record is from RNAcentral. Lineage: Eukaryota; Viridiplantae; Streptophyta; Magnoliopsida; Rosales; Rosaceae.
UGGGUGUGACGUAACCAAAAGUGCGACGCGGAAGCAAAAGAUAAAGGAAAUAUGAAGGAAUAAAACAUUUACUAGCAAUAAUAUCCAACUAACAUGCUAGAGUAAGUUUAAGUGUGAAACACACAUAUUCAGAGCAUAAGUACUAGGUGCAGUCAAGUAGGAACAUAAUUAAAUUACAACACCCGAAGGUGAGUCCUACAUUUAUGUAGUCUGUCAGAACGCCGUGAGAAUCCUCGUGGGCCACCAACGCUGCUAUCUAGAACCUGGAGGGGCGCAAAACAAAAUUGAGUGGGUCAGUAAAACAAAGCUUUUUGAAAACAUUUCAUUUAAUAACAUUUCUAACCCCUCACUGUAAAACCUGUAUACUUUCCCAGAAAAUAACAUAAUAUGCAUAUAAAUCUUCAUAUAUCUCAAAUCACCAAUCUUUAUCAAAAACCAAAAAGUAUGCCAUGCUAUAAGCGUCAAUAACAGAAUAAGGAUGCAACAUUAUAACAUGUGAAAUAAGGAAUCAACCGGAGACCCUGCAGUUGGUCAUGUAUGGUUAAUUCAAUAGCUCAAUAUCCAACCAACCGGAGUCACCACAGUGACCCGUAUGGCGCUACUCUGCACAUACAUCGGAACUACCUGAAGUAGUCUGUACGAUAAGAAACAUAUAAGAAUACGCUCUAGUGCUUCUCUCAUCAACAGCUGUAUAAUAAUCUAAAAUCACCUACAAGUCGGAACCACCUCUCAUGGUCUGUACGACAUGUUAGAACCCUCUAAUGGUUUGUACGACAUGCACCUACUUGGAUCCAAGGUGAGCGUGUGGUGCGGGGUUAAUAAUAUAAGCACUAACACCAAGGGUGUAGGUUGAGAUUUCAGUACAAUUCACAUCACAAUAAAUCACAUGAUUAACAUAAAACUCACCUGAUACUCACCUGUGCGUCCACAACACCAAUUCACAUAUAUGCAUCAAAUACUAAUUCAUAUAUUUCAUAUAAUAUGCAUGCAUGGCAUUUUCAAAACAAACUUUCAUUUAAAUUCAAUUUCUGGGAAAAAUCAAUAGUAUAUAGGUAAAUACAGAAAAUACUGCCCACUCACUGGUAAGUCGAAGGGUCGUAACCCCUGUGACAUCCUUGAAUGCGCUCGUCCUCGGGAUAGGUAUCACCUAUAUACGAAACAACUAUAAAAACGUUAUUUAAAGCACAUAACCGACAAUAUGCACUAACUUCUCAUACAAUGCUCAAUUUGGGUAUAUGAAUAUACCACA